UUUAAAGUCUAAUCUGCCCCAUGAGGAAUUAAAUGGCCGCGGUACUUUGACCGUGCAAAGGUAGCAUAAUAAUUAGUUUUUUAAUUGAAAGCUGGUAUGAAUGAUUGGACGAGAAAAUAACUGUCUCAAUUUAAUUUUUUUAGAAUUUUAUUUUUAAGUAAGAAAGCUUAAAUUUUAUUAAAAGACGAGAAGACCCUAUAGAGUUUUAUAUUUAGUUUAUUUUUAGUUUUAAAGAAUUAUUUUAUUAAUAUUUAAUUAAAUAUUUUAUUGGGGUGAUAGAAAAAUAUUAUAAACUUUUUUUUUAUUUUAACAUUGAUUUAUGAUUUAAUGAUCCAUUAUUAUAUGAUUAAAAGAAUAAGUUACCUUAGGGAUAACAGCGUAAUUUUUUUUUAGAGUUCUUAUCGAAAGAAAAGAUUGCGACCUCGAUGUUGGAUUAAAAUUAAUAUUUGGUGUAGAAGCUAGAUAAUUGGGUCUGUUCGACCCUUGAAAUUUUACA
Molecule: ribosomal RNA, 496 nt
Filed under: Maladera sp. 834655
Lineage: Eukaryota; Metazoa; Arthropoda; Insecta; Coleoptera; Scarabaeidae
Description: partial 16S large subunit ribosomal RNA
Rfam family: Bacterial large subunit ribosomal RNA
Source: RNAcentral